GAGACUGUGGCUCAGUGGUAGAGUGCUUGCCUAGCAUGCAUGAGGCACUGGGUUUGAUCCUCAGCACCACA
This 71-nucleotide transfer RNA is filed under the name Marmota monax (woodchuck). Its description in RNAcentral is "tRNA.Ala". The stretch from base 6 to 66 matches the Rfam family "tRNA", at positions 6 to 65 of the family's 71-position model. Rfam says of the family: Transfer RNA (tRNA) molecules are approximately 80 nucleotides in length. Their secondary structure includes four short double-helical elements and three loops (D, anti-codon, and T loops). Lineage: Eukaryota; Metazoa; Chordata; Mammalia; Rodentia; Sciuridae. The record is from RNAcentral.